Molecule: ribosomal RNA, 253 nt
Filed under: uncultured bacterium
Lineage: Bacteria
Description: partial 16S ribosomal RNA
Rfam family: Bacterial small subunit ribosomal RNA
Source: RNAcentral
UACGAAGGGUGCAAACGUUGCUCGGAAUCAUUGGGCGUAAAGCGCACGUAGGCGGCGAUCUAAGUCGGAUGUGAAAUCCCUCGGCUCAACCGAGGACGUGCAUCCGAAACUAGAUUGCUCGAGUAUGGAAGAGGGUCGCGGAAUUCUCGGUGUAGAGGUGAAAUUCGUAGAUAUCGGGAGGAACACCAGUGGCGAAGGCGGCGACCUGGGCCAAUACUGACGCUGAGGUGCGAAAGCGUGGGGAGCAAACAGG